GGACCCGCACAAGCGGUGGAUGAUGUGGUUUAAUUCGAUGCAACGCGAAAAACCUUACCUACCCUUGACAUGUCUAGAAUUUUGCAGAGAUGUGAAAGUGCUCGAAAGAGAACUAGAACACAGGUGCUGCAUGGCCGUCGUCAGCUCGUGUCGUGAGAUGUUGGGUUAAGUCCCGCAACGAGCGCAACCCUUGUCAUUAGUUGCUACGAAAGGGCACUCUAAUGAGACUGCCGGUGACAAACCGGAGGAAGGUGGGGAUGACGUCAGGUCCUCAUGGCCCUUAUGGGUAGGGCUACACACGUCAUACAAUGGCCGGUACAGAGGGCUGCCAACCCGCGAGGGGGAGCCAAUCCCAGAAAACCGGUCGUAGUCCGGAUCGCAGUCUGCAACUCGACUGCGUGAAGUCGGAAUCGCUAGUAAUCGCGGAUCAGCUUGCCGCGGUGAAUACGUUCCCGGGUCUU
RNAcentral lists this ribosomal RNA (461 nucleotides) under uncultured bacterium. RNAcentral's name for it is "bacterial SSU rRNA". It matches the Rfam family "Bacterial small subunit ribosomal RNA", at positions 917 to 1382 of the family's 1533-position model. The record is from RNAcentral.